RNAcentral lists this ribosomal RNA (417 nucleotides) under uncultured microorganism. RNAcentral's name for it is "bacterial SSU rRNA". It matches the Rfam family "Bacterial small subunit ribosomal RNA", at positions 9 to 424 of the family's 1533-position model. The record is from RNAcentral.
GAGUUUGAUCGUGGCUCAGAUUGAACGCUGGCGGCAUGCCUUACACAUGCAAGUCGAACGGCAGCAUGAUCUAGCUUGCUAGAUUGAUGGCGAGUGGCGAACGGAUGAGUAAUACAUCGGAACGUGCCCUGUAGUGGGGGAUAACUAGUCGAAAGAUUAGCUAAUACCGCAUACGACCUGAGGGUGAAAGUGGGGGACCGCAAGGCCUCAUGCUAUAGGAGCGGCCGAUGUCUGAUUAGCUAGUUGGUGGGGUAAAGGCCCACCAAGGCGACGAUCAGUAGCUGGUCUGAGAGGACGAUCAGCCACACUGGGACUGAGACACGGCCCAGACUCCUACGGGAGGCAGCAGUGGGGAAUUUUGGACAAUGGGCGAAAGCCUGAUCCAGCAAUGCCGCGUGUGUGAAGAAGGCCUCGGUU